Molecule: ribosomal RNA, 1458 nt
Filed under: uncultured organism
Description: 16S ribosomal RNA
Rfam family: Bacterial small subunit ribosomal RNA
Source: RNAcentral
UGCCUAAUACAUGCAAGUAGAACGCUGAAGAGAGGAGCUUGCUCUUCUUGGAUGAGUUGCGAACGGGUGAGUAACGCGUAGGUAACCUGCCUUGUAGCGGGGGAUAACUAUUGGAAACGAUAGCUAAUACCGCAUAACAAUGGAUGACACAUGUCAUUUAUUUGAAGGGGGCAAAUGCUCCACUACAAGAUGGACCUGCGUUGUAUUAGCUAGUAGGUGAGGUAACGGCUCACCUAGGCGACGAUACAUAGCCGACCUGAGAGGGUGAUCGGCCACACUGGGACUGAGACACGGCCCAGACUCCUACGGGAGGCAGCAGUAGGGAAUCUUCGGCAAUGGGGGCAACCCUGACCGAGCAACGCCGCGUGAGUGAAGAAGGUUUUCGGAUCGUAAAGCUCUGUUGUAAGUCAAGAACGAGUGUGAGAGAGGAAAGUUCACACUGUGACGGUAGCUUACCAGAAAGGGACGGCUAACUACGUGCCAGCAGCCGCGGUAAUACGUAGGUCCCGAGCGUUGUCCGGAUUUAUCGGGCGUAAAGCGAGCGCAGGCGGUUUGAUAAGUCUGAAGUUAAAGGCUGUGGCUCAACCAUAGUUCGCUUUGGAAACUGUCAAACUUGAGUGCAGAAGGGGAGAGUGGAAUUCCAUGUGUAGCGGUGAAAUGCGUAGAUAUAUGGGGGAACACCGGUGGCGAAAGCGGCUCUCUGGUCUGUAACUGACGCUGAGGCUCGAAAGCGUGGGGAGCGAACAGGAUUAGAUACCCUGGUAGUCCACGCCGUAAACGAUGAGUGCUAGGUGUUGGAUCCUUUCCGGGAUUCAGUGCCGCAGCUAACGCAUUAAGCACUCCGCCUGGGGAGUACGACCGCAAGGUUGAAACUCAAAGGAAUUGACGGGGGCCCGCACAAGCGGUGGAGCAUGUGGUUUAAUUCGAAGCAACGCGAAGAACCUUACCAGGUCUUGACAUCCCGAUGCUAUUUCUAGAGAUAGAAAGUUACUUCGGUACAUCGGUGACAGGUGGUGCAUGGUUGUCGUCAGCUCGUGUCGUGAGAUGUUGGGUUAAGUCCCGCAACGAGCGCAACCCCUAUUGUUAGUUGCCAUCAUUCAGUUGGGCACUCUAGCGAGACUGCCGGUAAUAAACCGGAGGAAGGUGGGGAUGACGUCAAAUCAUCAUGCCCCUUAUGACCUGGGCUACACACGUGCUACAAUGGUUGGUACAACGAGUUGCGAGUCGGUGACGGCAAGCUAAUCUCUUAAAGCCAAUCUCAGUUCGGAUUGUAGGCUGCAACUCGCCUACGUGAAGUCGGAAUCGCUAGUAAUCGCGGAUCAGCACGCCGCGGUGAAUACGUUCCCGGGCCUUGUACACACCGCCCGUCACACCACGAGAGUUUGUAACACCCGAAGUCGGUGGGGUAACCUUUUGGAGCCAGCCGCCUAAGGUGGGAUAGAUGAUUGGGGUGAAGUC